Molecule: long non-coding RNA, 1625 nt
Organism: Anolis carolinensis (green anole)
Lineage: Eukaryota; Metazoa; Chordata; Lepidosauria; Squamata; Anolidae
Source: Ensembl
GCAAAAUGUAAGCAUUAUUUCAUGAACACUUGGCAUCGAUAGUGCAGAAUAUUGCACAAUGAAGUACAUUUUGACAAGUACGAAAUUGUAGCAGCUUUUUGACUCUCACGAUUCAGGUAAAUGUCCAGAAGAGAACUGGAGGAGAUAUGGUAUGUCUGCAGAACAGAUGCCUUUACAGCAAAAUGCAUAUGUGCCAAGCGAAUGACUGUGUCAGAAAGUGGAGGACUUUCCUUCUUCGGAGAUUCUCCAUCCAUAGAUUCAAUGAUCCUUUGAUGGCAGCCAUAAGACUGAUGUGGCCCUCGAUGAAAAUGAGGUUGACACCACUGAUUUAGACAUCCACACUGUAGCCUAAAACCGUAGAGAUGAUUCAUGCUGAUGCUAUGAAAAGACGGUCAGGUUAGGUUUUUGACUUCAUGUCUUUCCCAUAUCUGAUGUUGAUGAAGAGGCAUCUGAUGUUGAUGAAGAGGGUGUGUGGUUUCUGGGUUGUAUGUCUGUGUUCUAGCAGCAUUUUCUCCUGAUGUUUUGCCUGUGUCUGUGGCUGGCAUCUUCAGAGGACACACAUGCAGGUGAAACUUCAGGAGAAAAUGCUGCUUGAACACGGCCAUACAGCCCAUAAACCACACAACAUCCCAGUGAUUCCAGCCAUGAAAGCCUUCAACAAUCAUGGUUUCCCUUUUAUGGCAUAUAAAAAUUGCAUGAGUUAGGAAGGAUGUUGUGGAAGAACCUCCUCAAUCCUCCUCACAACUCUUACUUUUCUCCUAUGGUUCCUGUGUCUUUUUCUCACCAGAGCUUUAUUCAUGAGUUGAACAAUACAAAAUAUUUGUUAUAUGCUACUUCUCUUUAAUCUAAGCAACUUUUGGCCUUUCAAGUGGGGCUGGACUGCAACUCACAUUAUUUCGAAUAGCUGGCAAUGCUGCCUGGAGCUCGUGAGAGUUGUGCUUCAACAUCUGGAAAACAUAGUUUGCUGCCUCCACUACUGCUGAGCUCAGGGGCAUUGUGUUCUUUGCAUUAAACUGUUCUUAUUUAAUCUACUCUUCUGUUAAAUAGCUUAAUAAAUGGAGCGAGAUCUUUGUUUUUGGCUGGAAUCUUCAUCAUGUGUUUGCUCUCAAAGGGAUGGAUGGGGAGAGGUUUCCUUGGUUCACAGGCAAAGAUGUUGAGUGGGAUGGAGAGCUUAAAAGAACCAAAUUCCAGGCAAAAAAAAAGUUAUGGUCCUCAUCAGGAAGACCGUUCAUUAAAGAAACAUAUUCUUGGAUAGAAAUAGCCUGAUUUAUUUUUGUUAACUUAAGACUCCAUCUACACUGGCCAUUUAAUGCAGUGUCAAACCAGUAUUGAAGAAAGUGGUUUCUCUGUACAGAUUAUUACAUAGGAAAUCCUGGAAGCAAUUUGGAGUCCAAAUGGUGAUUACACAAACUAUUGUUUGUGUAGUCAGAAUUUGGAUUUAAUGCACAUCAAAACAUUGGAGUGCAUUAAGGACUUUCUUUAGUGCUCUUUUGUGGGAGUUUGUUGUCUGGCCACCAUAAUAUGGAACCAGUUUUGAACUGCAUUGUAGUCAGUAUAAGAUGGAGUAUUUGCCAUAUAUUCCUUUGUAAAUUAACAUACUGUCCACUUUCAUAAAUUACAUGAUC